RNAcentral lists this ribosomal RNA (465 nucleotides) under uncultured bacterium. RNAcentral's name for it is "partial 16S ribosomal RNA". It matches the Rfam family "Bacterial small subunit ribosomal RNA", at positions 28 to 507 of the family's 1533-position model. The record is from RNAcentral.
GAUGAACGCUGGCGGCGUGCUUAACACAUGCAAGUCGAACGGAAAGGCUCCUGCUUGCAGGGGUACUCGAGUGGCGAACGGGUGAGUAACACGUGGGUGAUCUGCCCUGCACUUCGGGAUAAGCCUGGGAAACUGGGUCUAAUACCGGAUAGGACCACAUUUUGGAUGGUGUGGUGGAAAGUUUUUCGGUGUGGGAUGAGCUCGCGGCCUAUCAGCUUGUUGGUGGGGUAAUGGCCUACCAAGGCGUCGACGGGUAGCCGGCCUGAGAGGGUGUACGGCCACAUUGGGACUGAGAUACGGACCAGACUCGUACGGGAGGCAGCGGUGGGGAAUAUUGCACAAUGGGCGCAAGCCUGAUGCAGCGACGCCGCGUGGGGGAUGACGGCCUUCGGGCUGUAAACUCCUUUCGCUAGGGACGAAGCGCAAGUGACGGUACCUGGAGAAGAAGCACCGGCUAACUACGUG